This 1031-nucleotide long non-coding RNA is filed under the name Phoenix dactylifera (date palm). RNAcentral describes it as "long non-coding RNA (PDAC_LNC016324)". Lineage: Eukaryota; Viridiplantae; Streptophyta; Magnoliopsida; Arecales; Arecaceae. The record is from RNAcentral.
GAAAUGUGCUCAUGAUGCAAAGUACAUAACUCCCACUCACCUGCCGAUCCGGCACGGCCUCGAUACGCCUCCAAAUCUUUAUGGUAGGCAGUAGGAAACUUUUUCCUCUUGUUCCCUAGCUUCUUGCCCAACUGAUACAUGCAUUUAUAAUACAUUUAGUUUUGUAUCAAGGGCCAUAAUCUACGUGCCAAUCAUAAAUAUAUGAAGCUUUAAUUGAUUCAACUCCUUCCUUUUUUAAAUCCUUCCCUUUUCCCUUUUUCCCUAUCAAUUAAUCUUCUCCUUAUAUGUAUUAUGAUGCAAAAGCAUCACACACACACCUUAGGCCACUGUCAUAGGGUCAAGGUGCGAGAAAGAGUCAAAAUCCUCCUUCACUAAAAAUUUCACUGAAGCGUGAGUCGACCCCAACCUCAUGAGUCGACCCCGACCACAGAGCCGUAAAACUUCAUUUUCUGAACUCUCAGAGAGAGUCGACCCCUAAUCUGCCCCGAGUCGAUUCCAGUUGACCUCGAGUCAACUCCGGCACGUUUUGAAGCGACUCCCACCAUUUUCUCACUUUUUUUCAUCUCGGAUGAAUAGUAACCUAGACUGACAGUGAGUCACUUCAUCCCGGUUUGAUCUACUUUUCGAACUCCAAAUUUUAUGAAACUUUUACCUAACAUUCUACACUCAUAGAGAAUUCCAAAGAGGUAUCAUGCAUUACUAUCGGAGGCCAUUUGACCCCCGAAACAAUUCGCUAGUUGGGACUUCGACAUAGUUUUUCCGUAGUGCUGGAAAAAUUUGUCGAAAUCCGGUUCUUCCUCUUUUAACCACCUCUACAACCCUUAUCCGACCUCUCUAGACUACAUCCACCCUUUGUAUAGCCUAAUAUCAUCAAAAGCUAGAUAGGGAUGGAUAUUUACUUUUUUCUUUUGAAAAUCGAGGUCCUUGCAUAGAGGAGAAGGAGAUCUACACUUUUCCCUUCAACUGCCACCGCAACCGAAAUUCCCUUCCCUUCCUUUUUUCUCUUUCUCUUCCUCUUCUUUUCUUCCUUU